AUUAUUCAAAGCUUGCAUUCCUUUGUGCCGAUGGUUCUGUUAAUCUACACGCUAGAUACGGAAGUCAUUACAGUUUACGCAUUCCAAGGUUGGUUGGCUUUAUGGUCCCACCAUUGAAGAUAUGCUCACUGGACUCAACAUCCAUGGUAGAGGAUGGAAAUCCGUCCUUUGCUCACCAUACCCACGAAUCAUGCUUUUUCGCUUCUAACACUUGAAUUAUUGAAAAGUUGAACUUAGUUAUAAGGAGCUCAUUAAGGAAAAGUAUGAAGAAAAAGAAAGGUUAAAUGGGAUUAUUGCGGGGUUGUUGGCUGGAAAAGAAAAAGAUAAGGUGGACAAAGAUACUAUGAUCGAUAGGAUGUAACAAAUUGAAGCUAUGUUAACAAGUACAAUUCGAUGAUGGGCUACAAACACUUGGUUUUAAAUGUUUCGAUGUUUAUCAUAUUAGGAUAAUUUUAGUCAUCUGAUG
This is an RNA transcript of Helianthus annuus (common sunflower), 466 nucleotides long. RefSeq lists it as uncharacterized. The record is from RefSeq and is a predicted model, not a curated record. Lineage: Eukaryota; Viridiplantae; Streptophyta; Magnoliopsida; Asterales; Asteraceae. The transcript has 3 exons.